GCACAAGCAGCGGAGCGUGUGGUUUAAUUCGAUGCUACACGAAGAACCUUACCAGGGUUUGACAUACAAGUGGUAGAGAAGCGAAAGUGGAUCGACCCUUCGGGGAGCUUGUACAGGUGCUGCAUGGCUGUCGUCAGCUCGUGUCGUGAGAUGUUCGGUUAAGUCCGCUAACGAGCGCAACCCUCGCUGUGUGUUACAAGUGUCACACGGAACUGCCGGUCAUAAACCGGAGGAAGGUGGGAUGACGUCAAGUCAGCAUGGCCUUUAUAUCCUGGGCUACACACACGCUACAAUGGGAAGGGACAAUAGGUUGCGAAGCCGCGAGGUGGAGCCAAUCCAGCAAAACUUCCCUCAGUUCAGACUGCAGGCUGCAACUCGCCUGCAUGAAGUUGGAGUUGCUAGUAAACGCAGGUCAGCCAUACUGCGUUGAAUACGUUCCCGGGGCUU
Molecule: ribosomal RNA, 447 nt
Filed under: uncultured Anaerolineaceae bacterium
Lineage: Bacteria; Bacillati; Chloroflexota; Anaerolineae; Anaerolineales; Anaerolineaceae
Description: bacterial SSU rRNA
Rfam family: Bacterial small subunit ribosomal RNA
Source: RNAcentral